Molecule: long non-coding RNA, 220 nt
Filed under: Pan troglodytes (chimpanzee)
Lineage: Eukaryota; Metazoa; Chordata; Mammalia; Primates; Hominidae
Description: long non-coding RNA NONPTRT006657
Source: RNAcentral
CCGGAGCAUCCUACGAAAGAACAGCUCCAACUUGAUGCAGAAAUCCCCCAAUGUGGAGAACCCCAGAAGGAAGUCUCAGCACUGGGACGAGAUGAAUAUCCUGACCACCUACCGCCCUGCUGACAAGGACUAUGGAUUUAUGAUGGUGGAUGAGCCCAACACUCCCUACCACAGGCUGCAGGACAGUUUUGAGGACCUCUCUGCCGGCUCCUCCUGCUCA